ACAUGCAAGUCGAGCGAACGGACGAGAAGCUUGCUUCUCUGAUGUUAGCGGCGGACGGGUGAGUAACACGUGGAUAACCUACCUAUAAGACUGGGAUAACUUCGGGAAACCGGAGCUAAUACCGGAUAAUAUUUUGAACCGCAUGGUUCAAAAGUGAAAGACGGUCUUGCUGUCACUUAUAGAUGGAUCCGCGCUGCAUUAGCUAGUUGGUAAGGUAACGGCUUACCAAGGCAACGAUGCAUAGCCGACCUGAGAGGGUGAUCGGCCACACUGGAACUGAGACACGGUCCAGACUCCUACGGGAGGCAGCAGUAGGGAAUCUUCCGCAAUGGGCGAAAGCCUGACGGAGCAACGCCGCGUGAGUGAUGAAGGUCUUCGGAUCGUAAAACUCUGUUAUUAGGGAAGAACAUAUGUGUAAGUAACUGUGCACAUCUUGACGGUACCUAAUCAGAAAGCCACGGCUAACUACGUGCCAGCAGCCGCGGUAAUACGUAGGUGGCAAGCGUUAUCCGGAAUUAUUGGGCGUAAAGCGGGCGUAGGCGGUUUUUUAAGUCUGAUGUGAAAGCCCACGGCUCAACCGUGGAGGGUCAUUGGAAACUGGAAAACUUGAGUGCAGAAGAGGAAAGUGGAAUUCCAUGUGUAGCGGUGAAAUGCGCAGAGAUAUGGAGGAACACCAGUGGCGAAGGCGACUUUCUGGUCUGUAACUGACGCUGAUGUGCGAAAGCGUGGGGAUCAAACAGGAUUAGAUACCCUGGUAGUCCACGCCGUAAACGAUGAGUGCUAAGUGUUAGGGGGUUUCCGCCCCUUAGUGCUGCAGCUAACGCAUUAAGCACUCCGCCUGGGGAGUACGACCGCAAGGUUGAAACUCAAAGGAAUUGACGGGGACCCGCACAAGCGGUGGAGCAUGUGGUUUAAUUCGAAGCAACGCGAAGAACCUUACCAAAUCUUGACAUCCUUUGACAACUCUAGAGAUAGAGCAUUCCCCUUCGGGGGACAAAGUGACAGGUGGUGCAUGGUUGUCGUCAGCUCUUGUCGUGAGAUGUUGGGUUAAGUCCCGCAACGAGCGCAACCCUUAAGCUUAGUUGCCAUCAUUAAGUUGGGCACUCUAAGUUGACUGCCGGUGACAAACCGGAGGAAGGUGGGGAUGACGUCAAAUCAUCAUGCCCCUUAUGAUUUGGGCUACACACGUGCUACAAUGGACAAUACAAAGGGCAGCGAAACCGCGAGGUCGAGCAAAUCCCAUAAAGUUGUUCUCAGUUCGGAUUGUAGUCUGCAACUCGACUACAUGAAGCUGGAAUCGCUAGUAAUCGUAGAUCAGCAUGCUACGGUGAAUACGUUCCCGGGUCUUGUACACACCGCCCGUCACACCACGAGAGUCUGUAACACCCGAAGCCGGUGGAGUGACCUUUUAGGAGCUAGCCGUCGAAG
RNAcentral lists this ribosomal RNA (1428 nucleotides) under Staphylococcus aureus. RNAcentral describes it as "16S ribosomal RNA". It matches the Rfam family "Bacterial small subunit ribosomal RNA". The record is from RNAcentral. Lineage: Bacteria; Bacillati; Bacillota; Bacilli; Caryophanales; Staphylococcaceae.